CACAUGGCGGCGGUUCAUUGUACGUGCGUUUCUAAAAGAUUCCGUGUUACGUGUAGACUCUGCUUCUUUGUAGUGUAUCAGUGAGCCAUGGAGACAGUGCAGGCGGGCCCGUGCGUCACCGAGGCCCCGAGGAAGCGAUCUUGGUGCUGUGACUCCGCGCCAGAGCAAGUACGUGUCUAGGAAGGGAAAGAGACAGCGGGCGUCCUCGUGGCGGCGGCCGGGGCUGAGUGGUGGCGCUCUCUCAUCUGCUUGAUCGCCUGCUUAGUAAUUUAGUAUUGAUGCGCCAAGAAGAGCGGCGGCGGCAGGGGACAGA
This is a long non-coding RNA of Portunus trituberculatus (swimming crab), 313 nucleotides long. RefSeq lists it as uncharacterized. The record is from RefSeq and is a predicted model, not a curated record. The transcript is spliced from 3 exons. Lineage: Eukaryota; Metazoa; Arthropoda; Malacostraca; Decapoda; Portunidae.